RNAcentral lists this long non-coding RNA (259 nucleotides) under Lathyrus oleraceus (garden pea). RNAcentral's name for it is "Pisum sativum (pea) long non-coding RNA (PSAT_LNC023934)". Lineage: Eukaryota; Viridiplantae; Streptophyta; Magnoliopsida; Fabales; Fabaceae. The record is from RNAcentral.
AAAAAUAUAGGAGGAGAUCUAUGGUGAUCUAGUUGCAUUUGUUGAAACUUUUGUUGAGUAUGUCGAUGUUGAGCAGCCAUUGAAGAAGAUGAAGAAGAUGGAGAAUAGUUGUAGAGAGGGUUGUUUUAGGUUUCAAGGAAGAAAGUGUGAGAGUAUCGUGCGUGUAGUAUGAAAAUGUGAGUGAAGUGGGUUUAUAUAAUUUUUUUUGCAAUGAUGACAAAAUGGAAAUAUACAUUCAUAAGAGGAAGCGUAAGAGUUU